AAUCAACGCUGGCGGCGUGCCUCAGACAUGCAAGUCGAACGAUUAAAGCUCUCUUCGGAGAGUGUAUAGAGUGGCGCACGGGUGAGUAACACGUAAGUAAUCUACCCUCGAGUGGGGAAUAACAACCGGAAACGGUUGCUAAUACCGCAUAAUGCAGCGGCACCGCAAGGUGACAGUUGUUAAAGAUUUAUCGCUUGAGGAGGAGCUUGCGGCAGAUUAGCUAGUUGGUAGGGUAACGGCUUACCAAGGCUACGAUCUGUAACCGGUCUAAGAGGACGGUCGGUCACACUGACACUGAAUAACGGGUCAGACUCCUACGGGAGGCAGCAGUCGGGAAUUUUGGGCAAUGGGCGAAAGCCUGACCCAGCAACGCCGCGUGAAGGAUGAAGUAUUUCGGUAUGUAAACUUCGAAAGAAUAGGAAGAAUAAAUGACGGUACUAUUUAUAAGGUCCGGCUAACUACGUG
Molecule: ribosomal RNA, 465 nt
Filed under: uncultured bacterium
Lineage: Bacteria
Description: bacterial SSU rRNA
Rfam family: Bacterial small subunit ribosomal RNA
Source: RNAcentral